AGUGAACGCUGGCGGUAGGCCUAACACAUGCAAGUCGAACGGCAGCACAGGAGAGCUUGCUCUCUGGGUGGCGAGUGGCGGACGGGUGAGGAAUACAUCGGAAUCUACUCUGUCGUGGGGGAUAACGUAGGGAAACUUACGCUAAUACCGCAUACGACCUACGGGUGAAAGCAGGGGAUCUUCGGACCUUGCGCGAUUGAAUGAGCCGAUGUCGGAUUAGCUAGUUGGCGGGGUAAAGGCCCACCAAGGCGACGAUCCGUAGCUGGUCUGAGAGGAUGAUCAGCCACACUGGAACUGAGACACGGUCCAGACGCCUACGGGAGGCAGCAGUGGGGAAUAUUGGAAAAUGGGCGCAAGCCUGAUCCAGCCAUACCGCGUGGGUGAAGAAGGCCUUCGGGUUGUAAAGCCCUUUUGUUGGGAAAGAAAUCCAGCUGGCUAAUACCCGGUUGGGAUGACGGUACCCAAAGAAUAAGCACCGGCUAACUUCGUGCCAGCCGCCGCGGUAA
This 506-nucleotide ribosomal RNA is filed under the name uncultured bacterium. RNAcentral's name for it is "partial 16S ribosomal RNA". It matches the Rfam family "Bacterial small subunit ribosomal RNA", at positions 29 to 523 of the family's 1533-position model. The record is from RNAcentral.